CCGGCCUGGGAACAGUGGCGGAACCUGAGGCCGCUUGCCCUCCCGCCCCAUGGAGCGGCCCCCGGGGCUGCGGCCGGGCGCGGGCGGGCCCUGGGAGAUGCGGGAGCGGCUGGGCACCGGCGGCUUUGGGAACGUCUGCCUGUAUCAGCAUCGGGAACUUGAUGUCAAAAUAGCAAUUAAGUCAUGUCGCCUAGAACUAAGUACCAAAAACAGAGAACGGUGGUGCCAUGAAAUCCAGAUCAUGAAGAAGUUGAACCACACCAAUGUUGUGAAGGCCUGUGAUGUACCUGAGGAAUUGAAUUUUUUAAUUAAUGAUGUGCCUCUUCUAGCAAUGGAAUACUGUUCUGGAGGAGAUCUCCGAAAGUUACUCAACAAACCAGAAAAUUGCUGUGGACUUAAAGAAAGCCAGAUACUUUCUUUACUGAGUGAUAUCGGGUCUGGGAUCCGAUAUUUGCAUGAAAACAAAAUUAUACAUCGUGAUCUAAAACCUGAAAACAUAGUUCUUCAGGAUGUUGGUGGAAAGAUUAUGCAUAAAAUAAUUGAUCUGGGAUAUGCCAAAGAUGUUGAUCAAGGAAGUCUUUGUACAUCUUUUGUGGGAACACUGCAGUAUCUGGCCCCAGAACUCUUUGAGAAUAAACCUUACACAGCCACUGUUGAUUAUUGGAGCUUUGGGACCAUGGUAUUUGAAUGUAUUGCUGGAUAUAGGCCUUUUUUGCAUCAUCUGCAGCCAUUUACCUGGCAUGAGAAGAUUAAGAAGAAGGAUCCAAAGUGUAUAUUUGCAUGUGAAGAGAUGACAGGAGAAGUUCGGUUUAGUAGCCAUUUACCUCAACCAAAUAGCCUCUGUGGUUUAAUAGUAGAACCCAUGGAAAACUGGCUUCAGUUGAUGCUGAAUUGGGAUCCUCAGCAAAGAGGAGGACCUGUUGAUCUUACUUUGAAGCAGCCAAGAUGUUUUGUAUUAAUGGAUCACAUUCUGAAUUUGAAGAUAGUACACAUCCUAAAUAUGACUUCUGCAAAGAUAAUUUCUUUUUUGUUACCACCUGAUGAAAGUCUUCAUUCACUACAGUCUCGUAUUGAGCGUGAAACUGGAAUAAAUACUGGUUCUCAAGAGCUUCUUUCAGAGACAGGAAUUUCUCUGGAUCCUCGGAAACCAGCCUCUCAAUGUGUUCUAGAUGGAGUCAGAGGCUGUGAUAGCUAUAUGGUGUAUUUGUUCGAUAAAAGUAAGACUGUAUAUGAAGGACCAUUUGCUUCCAGAAGUUUAUCUGACUGUGUAAAUUAUAUUGUACGGGACAGCAAAAUACAGCUUCCAAUUAUACAGCUGCGUAAAGUAUGGGCUGAAGCAGUACACUAUGUGUCUGGGCUAAAAGAAGACUACAGCAGGCUCUUUCAGGGACAAAGAGCAGCAAUGUUAAGUCUUCUUAGAUACAAUGCUAACUUGACAAAAAUGAAGAACACUUUGAUCUCAGCAUCUCAGCAACUGAAAGCUAAAUUGGAGUUUUUCCACAAAAGCAUUCAGCUUGACUUGGAAAGAUACAGUGAGCAGAUGACUUACGGGAUAUCCUCAGAAAAAAUGUUAAAAGCAUGGAAGGAAAUGGAAGAAAAGGCUAUCCACUAUGCUGAGGUGGGUGUCAUUGGUUACCUAGAGGAUCAGAUCAUGUCCCUGCACACUGAAAUCAUGGAGCUGCAGAAGAGCCCUUAUGGAAGACGUCAGGCAGACUUAAUGGAAUCUCUGGAACAGCGUGCCAUUGAUCUGUAUAAGCAGUUAAAGCACAGACCUUCAGAUCACUCCUACAGUGACAGCACGGAAAUGGUGAAGAUCAUUGUACAUACUGUUCAGAGUCAGGACCGGGUUCUCAAGGAGCUGUUUGGUCAUCUGAGCAAGUUAUUGGGCUGUAAGCAGAAGAUUAUUGAUCUACUGCCCAAGGUGGAAAUGGCCCUCAGUAACAUCAAAGAAGCUGACAAUACUGUCAUGUUUAUGCAGGGAAAGAGACAGAAAGAAAUAUGGCAUCUCCUUAAAAUUGCCUGUACACAGAGUUCUGCCCGGUCCCUUGUAGUAUCCAGUCUAGAAGGUGCAGUAACCCCUCAGGCAUCAGCAUGGUUUCCCCCAACUUCAACAGAACGUGAACAUCCUCUGUCAUGCGUGGUAACUCCUCAAGAUGGCAUAAGAUGUGCCGUAUCCAGAGCCAGUGGCUCUUUGCUAGCUUGUGUAUUGUCGCUUUUUUCACAACUCAUGGAGGCCUCUACAGCAGCACCAGCAUUACCUGGAAACUCUGCCCAUAAUUAGUUUUGCAGAAGUGCAGCCCAUGUACAUCACUGCUCAGGAGGUCAUGCAGUUGCACAUUCUGUACUCUACUUUUAUGAGAGAAAAGCACAUGGCAGGAAGGAAAGCUGAUAUCAGGUAUUUUAUUUUUUUUAAAGAAAGCAAGUUACAGGGUAUAUCUUGGGGUCAUUAGAGAUUUGGCCCAAUGUAAUACAUCCACAGGUACAGCACAGGCUGUAAUUUAAUUGACUUUAGGAAAUAUUCCAUUAAUCAGAGUUGAAGCAAAUAAAAUUUAAUACAUUACUAACCUUUUUGCUUUUAUUAAAGGCAUUUAAGUUUGUUAGGGGAUGUUAAUGGUUGCAAAUGUCACCUCUAUACAGGUAAUUUCUAAUUUGAGGUUGUGGUUGUUAGCAAAAGCAUGUCAGACAGGAAUUUUAAAUAUGUUUUCCAGUAGGAAUAUGUUACAAAGUAAAAUUGAUUUCAAUUAUAAUGUACACAUAGUACUUAACCGCCAAGGAUUGGAAUCUGUUGGCCUCAAUUUUUCCAUCUUUUGAAUACAAGCUAAAUUUGAAUUUAGUUCUAAGCUUAUAGUGGCUACCGUCCAUGGCCUAGAACUGAUUUUAGUAAGUAGAGACAGAGGGUUGGUAAAAGGUAAAGGAUAGAGGCCAUAUGGCAGAGGGAAGUGGGGAAGGUGGAAACUAGAAUCAGGAUUUCCUUCAAAUACAAACUUCCAGGGAUACUUGUUGGUUCUGGGGAGCUCCCCUGUGAUGCUAUUUUCUUCUGCUGUCCUCAGGAAUCAGCUUGCUUGUUUUCUUUUUCAUUGCUGUCAUCUGUAGUUUCCAACCAGAGUUUUCACCUUCCCUCAUCUUUGCAGACCAGAUUGUACUUUUUUCUCUUCACCCCUACAUUUGUGUCUCUGAAAUAAGCAUACUGAUGUUUCUACUACUUAUAAGGAAAGGGAAAUAGUCCAGAAACAAAAAGAGAUUUUUCAUGUAUCUGUGCUAUAAUUAUCUCCCCCACCUCCCAGCAAGCAUUUUCCGUGCGGGAAAUGUUGUAUGGGAGUGCCGCUUUUGUUUCAGAGGAAAAUGAGAUUGGACUUCUAGUGGACUUCUUAUCAUUUGAGCUGGGCAGAGGCAACAGCUUGGAUUAACAAGUAGGACUCUGCCUCUGGGUGGGAGGGAGGAGGAAACUGAAGACUAUAGGAAUCAGCUGCACUGGGGUGCUGGCUUGCAGGGCUGCGGAAAGGGCAGUGAUCAUCCUGACCCUGAAGACCAGAAGGUAGAGGAAAUACAUAUGCCUCUUUGCUGCAUUUGAAAAGGCUUUGUUUUUUCAUCAUACAGGGAGACUAUAGCACAAAUGAUAGAAGAAAAUUUGAACUGUCUUGGCCAUUUAAGCACUAUUAUUCAUGAAGCAAAUGAGGAACAGGGCAAUAGUAUGAUGAAUCUUGAUUGGAGAUGGUUAACAGAAUGACUUGCUACUUAUUCACUGUCCCCAAAUCUAUGGAGCACGUGUUGGAAAUUUGUUUUUCUCCCAUGAAACCAUUCUUCAGAUACCAGCAAAUGGAAGAAAUGGCUAUGAUCAGAAAAUAUGCAUGAUUUUACAAGCACAGUAUUUUGACUUUAGGAAAUUUUAACAUCUGAACAGACAGAAUUUUAUGUCAGUGGACUUGUUUAAAUAUGAUAGCUACUUAAGCACAUCAUGGCAAUCCAUUUGUCUUCAAACGUGAUACAACACUUAACCGACUAAAAACAUCUUUUACUAUUUAACUUUUGGGCAUAAGGCCAAAAGUAAUAUCUGUAUUACUAUAUUGAAAACAAAACCUCAACUAACGUAUGUGUUCUAAGUAAAAGUUGUUUGCCUGUUUCUGUGGAAGAGACUACUUUCAAGUAAAACUAUACUUCAUGAAGAAUAAACUCUACCUCCUUGUGUUGCAUUCAGAAAUGCUCUUCCUGGCAACAUAAGGAGUUUAAUCCCACUGCACAUUUGACAGUAUCCCUUUCCUACAGAAGGAAUUGUGCAUCUGUACGUUUAAUAUGAGUUGAUUCUCACAAAUCUUGUUAAAUGUGCUAUGUAUAUAUGUAUUUAAGAUGUACAUUUAAUAAUAUCAAGAAGAUGCCUGUUAAUUUAUAAUGUGUUUGGAAACUUGUUUUCGACUUGUAAAAAUGGGUCAUUUGUUUAAUGCAUUUUUUAUGUCUUGUUCUACAAAUUUAUAAAGAUCUGCACUCCUUUAUCUGUAACUCCAAAAGUCUAAAAAGCUCUGAAAGCAAGGUCUUUCAAAAGCUUGGUAACAAAACUCAUUUGCUUGCAAAUCUAAUCUGAACUGACACUGAAUCUACUUAUCCCAUUUAGUGUGAAUAUUCAUUUACUUUGCUGUGGAAAUAUUAACGUAUUUGAUUAUUGCGGGGCGGGGGGGGACUGACACAGACCCUCCUGGGUGUUUAUGUAGUAUGAUAUAUAUACUGAAUUACCUUUCUAAAAUCUGAAAAUUUCAUAAUUCUGAAACAUCUUGCCCUAAGGGUUUCAGAUAAAGGACUGUGGAUCUAUCAUCUGUUAAAUAAGUAAUUUAGAAUGUAUUAUGUGUUUUUUAAAAAAUGUGAAAUGCUUUUAUAUUCUAGACAGUUUUCCACUUUGUGUAUUAAAUGAUUUUUAAAUUAC
This is a non-coding RNA of Leptonychotes weddellii (Weddell seal), 4912 nucleotides long. NCBI's taxonomy places the organism in Eukaryota, Metazoa, Chordata, Mammalia, Carnivora, Phocidae. The record is from RefSeq and is a predicted model, not a curated record.